This 94-nucleotide transfer RNA is filed under the name Bombardia bombarda. It matches the Rfam family "tRNA". Rfam says of the family: Transfer RNA (tRNA) molecules are approximately 80 nucleotides in length. Their secondary structure includes four short double-helical elements and three loops (D, anti-codon, and T loops). Further hydrogen bonds mediate the characteristic L-shaped molecular structure. tRNAs have two regions of fundamental functional importance: the anti-codon, which is responsible for specific mRNA codon recognition, and the 3' end, to which the tRNAs corresponding amino acid is attached (by aminoacyl-tRNA synthetases). tRNAs cope with the degeneracy of the genetic code in two manners: having more than one tRNA (with a specific anti-codon) for a particular amino acid; and 'wobble' base-pairing, i.e. permitting non-standard base-pairing at the 3rd anti-codon position. Lineage: Eukaryota; Fungi; Ascomycota; Sordariomycetes; Sordariales; Lasiosphaeriaceae. The record is from Rfam by way of RNAcentral.
GGCAAGAUGGCCGAGCGGUCUAAGGCGCCGUGUUCAGGUUCUAAAUCUGGAUUCGCGGUCCGAAAGGGCGUGGGUUCGAAUCCCACUCUUGUCA